This 1493-nucleotide ribosomal RNA is filed under the name uncultured bacterium. RNAcentral describes it as "bacterial SSU rRNA". It matches the Rfam family "Bacterial small subunit ribosomal RNA". The record is from RNAcentral.
AGAGUUUGAUCCUGGCUCAGAACGAACGCUAGCGGUGUGGUUAAGGCAUGCAAGUCGAACGAACUUACUUCGGUAAGUGAGUGGCGAACGGGUGAGUAAUGAAUGGGCAACGCAUCUCGGACUCAGGGAUAGCGGCGGAGCUUCGGCUCCUUUGCGAAAGUGCCGGUAAUACCUGAUAAUCCCACGAAAUCGCAUGGUUUUGUGGGCAAAGGUCCGCCGGUCCGGGACCGGCCCAUUUCCUAUCAGCUUGUUGGUGAGGUAACGGCUCACCAAGGCGUCGACGGGUAUCCGGCGUGAGAGCGCGACCGGACACAUCGGGACUGAGACACUGCCCGGACACCUACGGGUGGCUGCAGCAACGAAUAUUCCGCAAUGGACGAAAGUCUGACGGAGCGACACCGCGUGCAGGAUGAAGCCCUUCGGGGUGUAAACUGCUGUCAGGGGUAAGGAAAAUUUGACCGACCCCAAAGGAAGUAUCGGCUAAUUCCGUGCCAGCAGCCGCGGUAAUACGGAAGAUACAAGCGUUGUUCGGAAUUAUUGGGCUUAAAGCGCGUGUAGGCGGGACGGUAAGUAUCUUGUGAAAUCCCUUGGCUCAACCGAGGAAUUGCAGGGUAUACUGCCGUUCUUGAGGCAAUCAGGGGCACCCGGAACUCUAGGUGGAGCGGUGAAAUGCGUAGAUAUCUAGAGGAACGCCGGUGGCGAAAGCGGGGUGCUGGGAUUGUUCUGACGCUGAGACGCGAAAGCGUAGGUAGCGAACGGGAUUAGAUACCCCGGUAGUCUACGCCGUAAACGAUGCGCACUAGGUUAAAGGGGUUUAAUCGCCCUUUGGGCCGAAGCAAAAGUGUUAAGUGCGCCGCCUGGGGAGUACGGCCGCAAGGCUAAAACUCAAAGGAAUUGACGGGGGCUCACACAAGCGGUGGAGCAUGUGGAUUAAUUCGAAGCAACGCGCAGAACCUUACCUGGGUUUGACAUGCACGGAUACGCUCUUGGAAACAGGAGGCAGUUGCCCUCGUGGUGAAACGUGCACAGGUGCUGCAUGGCUGUCGUCAGCUCGUGCUGUGAAGUGUUGGGUUAAGUCCCCUAACGAGCGAAACCCUUGUCGUUAGUUGCCAGCGGGUAAAGCCGGGGACUCUAGCGAGACUGCCGGUGUUAAACCGGAGGAAGGUGGGGAUGACGUCAAGUCCUCAUGGCCCUUAUGCCCAGGGUGUCACACGUGCUACAAUGGGACGUACAGAGCGACGCAAUACCGCGAGGUGGAGCAAAUCGCAGAAAACGUUCCUCAGUUCGGAUUGGAGUCUGCAAUUCGACUCCAUGAAGUCGGAAUCGCUAGUAAUCGCGAAUCAGAACGUCGCGGUGAAUACGUUCUCGGGCCUUGUACACACCGCCCGUCACACCAUGGGAGUGAAUUGUACCAGAAGCAGGUAGACUAACCUUCGGGAGGUCGCUUACCACGGUAUGGUCCAUGACUGGGGUGAAGUCGUAACAAGGUAACC